GUGCCUAACACAUGCAGUCGAACGGGAAUCUUCGGAUUCUAGUGGCGGACGGGUGAGUAACGCGUAAGAAUCUAACUUCAGGACGGGGACAACAGUUGGAAACGACUGCUAAUACCCGAUGUGCCGAAAGGUGAAACCUAAUUGGCCUGAAGAAGAGCUUGCGUCUGAUUAGCUAGUUGGUGGGGUAAGAGCCUACCAAGGCGACGAUCAGUAGCUGGUCUGAGAGGAUGAGCAGCCACACUGGGACUGAGACACGGCCCAGACUCCUACGGGAGGCAGCAGUGGGGAAUUUUCCGCAAUGGGCGAAAGCCUGACGGAGCAACGCCGCGUGAGGGAGGAAGGUCUUUGGAUUGUAAACCUCUUUUCUCAAGGAAGAAGUUCUGACGGUACUUGAGGAAUCAGCCUCGGCUAACUCCGUGCCAGCAGCCGUGGUAAUACGGGGGAGGCAAGCGUUAUCCGGAAUUAUUGGGCGUAAAGCGUCCGCAGGUGGUCAGCCAAGUCUGCCGUCAAAUCAGGUUGCUUAACGACCUAAAGGCGGUGGAAACUGGCAGACUAGAGAGCAGUAGGGGUAGCAGGAAUUCCCAGUGUAGCGGUGAAAUGCGUAGAGAUUGGGAAGAACAUCGGUGGCGAAAGCGUGCUACUGGGCUGUAUCUGACACUCAGGGACGAAAGCUAGGGGAGCGAAAGGGAUUAGAUACCCCUGUAGUCCUAGCCGUAAACGAUGGAUACUAGGCGUGGCUUGUAUCGACCCGAGCCGUGCCGAAGCUAACGCGUUAAGUAUC
RNAcentral lists this ribosomal RNA (781 nucleotides) under uncultured cyanobacterium. Its description in RNAcentral is "bacterial SSU rRNA". It matches the Rfam family "Bacterial small subunit ribosomal RNA", at positions 44 to 868 of the family's 1533-position model. Lineage: Bacteria; Bacillati; Cyanobacteriota. The record is from RNAcentral.